GACUUGGUAGCCUAGUUGGUAAAGGUAGCACUUCUAGUAAAGUGUCUUAGAUUCUAACUAAGGCUUCUGGUUCAAAGCCUGCCCAAGUUG
Molecule: non-coding RNA, 90 nt
Organism: Puccinia sorghi
Lineage: Eukaryota; Fungi; Basidiomycota; Pucciniomycetes; Pucciniales; Pucciniaceae
Source: the annotation of a GenBank genome assembly